Molecule: ribosomal RNA, 327 nt
Filed under: uncultured eukaryote
Lineage: Eukaryota
Description: partial 18S ribosomal RNA
Rfam family: Eukaryotic small subunit ribosomal RNA
Source: RNAcentral
CCCUUAGAUGUUCUGGGCCGCACGCGCGCUACACUGACGAAGCCAGCGAGUAUAUAACCUGUCUCGGUAGGGAUGGGUAAUCUUGUGAAACUUCGUCGUGAUGGGGAUAGAUCUUUGUAAUUAUCGAUCUUCAACGAGGAAUUCCUAGUAAGCGCGACUCAUCAGGUCGCGUUGAUUACGUCCCUGCCCUUUGUACACACCGCCCGUCGCUACUACCGAUUGAAUGGUUUAGUGAGGUCUCGGGACUGGCUUUUUGACGGGUCAAACCGUCUUUGAGCCGGGAACUUGCUCAAACUUGAUCAUUUAGAGGAAGUAAAAGUCGUAACA